Molecule: long non-coding RNA, 439 nt
Organism: Nerophis lumbriciformis (worm pipefish)
Lineage: Eukaryota; Metazoa; Chordata; Actinopteri; Syngnathiformes; Syngnathidae
Source: RefSeq, a predicted model, not a curated record
GAGCAUUCACAUACCGGAAUGAGGGAUGACGAUCGGUCAAAUCUUUCAAAAUGUGCGCAGGACGAAGGUUAGUCCUUUGCCCGGUCGGAGGAAGAUGGAGAAUGUGUGAAUCGAUGAGACGUUCAGGGACCACUUCGCUUUUCCUGAUCCACGACGCGAUGAAGUAGUGGCAUCAAGUCGAAAUUCACAUCGAAAAAUUGAGUCCACGUGUUGCCGAGGCUUAUCGAGUGGACACCAUUGCUGUAGUUGCAAAAACAAACAAAACGGAACCAGAAAGAUGCCGGGAAAGAAAGACAAAAACUGGAUUUCCUGGCAAAAAAUGGGAGUUUUUGACAGGAAGAAACCAGAGGUUGCGAAGCAAGGUUGAUUGUGGGAACAAAGGCACUCGCUCUCUGGUAACCGAGCAACGCAGGAAGUGAUCGCUGAUCAGAGGUAGUGA